Long non-coding RNA from Syngnathoides biaculeatus (alligator pipefish), 919 nucleotides. RefSeq lists it as uncharacterized. The record is from RefSeq and is a predicted model, not a curated record. Lineage: Eukaryota; Metazoa; Chordata; Actinopteri; Syngnathiformes; Syngnathidae. The transcript is spliced from 3 exons.
UUGUCACAGUGAGUCUGUGGCCUUUUAGUUUGUCCGCGUCUUGUCAAGUUCCUUCGUUUGUGCCAUAGUCUUCGGACCUCGUUUCGUGUUUUUUGGAUACUGCCUUGAGUCUAGCCUGCCUUGUCUGACUGGUACACCUGGUAUAGAGCUCGCGCACAUGACGUCACCAUUUUCACGGCGCCAUGUUGGCGGUCAAAAAGAGCUGCUCGACAGUGUGGGGGACAUUGAACCGGAGCAGAAUAUUCACGACGCCCGAGACUUGUUGUGCUGUUGGUUGUCACAACAGCCGAGACAGAUAUUCAAAGAGAUCAUUCUAUGGAAUACCAGCUGAAAAGACGAGAAAGGAUCGAUGGAUUUCGGCAAUUCAACGUGAUGGAUGGCGGCCAACCAAAUACACACGACUGUGUAGUGAUUGCUUCACUUCUGGUUGAGAGUGCCGUUUGGCAGGAGACGCCGCCGACACAUUUGAAGAUGUCGGGACGCCGUCCAAACAGUUGAGCGAAACGUUGCGACUGUCAAGCUAAAAUUCUUCAAGUGUCAGGCACCAAGACAAGUCAGCCCAUUCCGGAAAGACACUGUGAAAGUCCUGUUCCUGAUCUCCCGUGUACCGAUCCCUGCUUGCCCGCUGACCUGCCUUCUCCGCCUGACAUCCUGGUUACCGCUGCUCCAGUUGACUUGUCUGCUUGAUCCCCGACCUUGGAACGAAUAAACACUUUUCCCGAAAUGCCUCUCCACCUCCGGAGUCCUGCAUUUGGGUCCUCCCCCGCACCGAUGGGUCGUGACAAGCUUGGUUGAAGUCUCCUAGAGUAAUGAGGGGUGAGUCUGGGUGUUUUUUUCUCAAAUUUGUGUACUUGUUCGACUGUUAGCAGUGCUGCGUUCAUGUUAGUCUGAGGCGUAACGUACGCCUACAAGUACAAAU